Molecule: ribosomal RNA, 465 nt
Filed under: Vreelandella stevensii
Lineage: Bacteria; Pseudomonadati; Pseudomonadota; Gammaproteobacteria; Oceanospirillales; Halomonadaceae
Description: partial 16S ribosomal RNA
Rfam family: Bacterial small subunit ribosomal RNA
Source: RNAcentral
CCUACGGGUGGCAGCAGUGGGGAAUAUUGGACAAUGGGCGAAAGCCUGAUCCAGCCAUGCCGCGUGUGUGAAGAAGGCCUUCGGGUUGUAAAGCACUUUCAGUGGGGAAGAAAGCCUUGGGGCUAAUACCCUCGAGGAAGGACAUCACCCAUAGAAGAAGCACCGGCUAACUCCGUGCCAGCAGCCGCGGUAAUACGGAGGGUGCGAGCGUUAAUCGGAAUUACUGGGCGUAAAGCGCGCGUAGGCGGUCUGAUAAGCCGGUUGUGUAAGCCCCGGGCUCAACCUGGGAACGGCAUCCGGAACUGUCAGGCUAGAGUGCAGGAGAGGAAGGUAGAAUUCUCGGUGUAGCGGUGAAAUGCGUAGAGAUCGGGAGGAAUACCAGUGGCGAAGGCGGCCUUCUGGACUGACACUGACGCUGAGGUGCGAAAGCGUGGGUAGCAAACAGGAUUAGAUACCCGAGUAGUC